This is a non-coding RNA of Daldinia vernicosa, 95 nucleotides long. NCBI's taxonomy places the organism in Eukaryota, Fungi, Ascomycota, Sordariomycetes, Xylariales, Hypoxylaceae. The record is from the annotation of a RefSeq genome assembly.
GCAUCCGUGAAGUAGUAGUGAACUUAUUCCUCUCCCAUUUUCCCUUGUGGUUUAACGGUAAAGGAAAAACCCGGGUGCAAAUCCCGGCGGAUGCA